CUGAAAAUAAUUUCCAUUCAAAUCUUUUUAAAUUGCCACGUCAUCUUCAUCAAAGCAUACCUCACUUCAAAUCUAUGGAUAUCAGUGAAGCCAAGAAGCAAACGAAAUAAAAAUGGGACACGCGAUAAGUGUAGAGAAAGUGGAUGAUUAAUUCCCUCUUUUUUUACAGACUGUGGAUCAAUUUGCUACUAUUUCAGCACAUUGGGGAUCAAUAGUGCAGUUUCUUCCGAAAGAAAAAGGAAAAAAAACAGAAAAAUGAGUAGACGAAGACUAUAGCUCUGCAUACACUUGCGUUCAUUCAUUUCCUCUCUCUCUUCAUUUCUAUCUCUGUAACUUCUCUCUCCGAAGACGUCAUUUCUGCUUGGCCUUUGCUUGUGUUGUGUAGAGCUGAAGUAGAGUAAGGUGGAGGGACAAAAGUUGUAAAUUCAUUUAACUGCGGGCGGAAUUGUAUCGGGCGUUUGUCUGAAGCCAUCGGAAAAGCAAAGUCAAGCCCUCUCGAUCGAGGUGUGCUACUAUCCUUGUUUUCCAAUUUUACCCUCGGAUCGCUAAAAUAUCUCCAAUUCUGAGGUUUUGUGAAGUUCUCUGCAUGUAAAUUUAUCUGGUUUAUUUUGAGGAAUUUAGCUGAUUUUGAUUUGGGUCAAAUUGUGCUUGUAAAAAAGAUUUGAUUUUUGUUUUUUGAGCUGAGCGUUUGAGUUAUUUAUUCGACGUCGUUUUUUGGAGUGGAAAAUUGACGGUGAAAUGGACUUGGCAGUCAACUCAUAAUAAAGGAAAGGAGGAAAAUAUAUAAAUGGAGCAAACCAUAAAUUAAUGUAC
RNAcentral lists this long non-coding RNA (813 nucleotides) under Olea europaea (common olive). RNAcentral describes it as "long non-coding RNA (OEUR_LNC008934)". The record is from RNAcentral. Lineage: Eukaryota; Viridiplantae; Streptophyta; Magnoliopsida; Lamiales; Oleaceae.